CAGUCGCCGCGGUAAUACGUAGGGGGCAAGCGUUAUCCGGAAUAACUGGGCGUAAAGGGUGCGCAGGUGGUUUAACAGGUUAGUGGUGAAAGGCAUAGGCUCAACCAAUGUAAGCCAUUAAAACUGUUUAACUUGAGUGCAGGAGAGGAAAGUGGAAUUCUUAGUGUAGCGGUGAAAUGCGUAGAUAUUAGGAGGAAUACCAGUGGCGAAGGCGACUUUCUGGACUGCAACUGACACUGGGGCACGAAAGCGUGGGGAGCAAACAGGAUUAGAUACCCCAGUAGUCCCUGUCUCUUAUACC
Molecule: ribosomal RNA, 301 nt
Filed under: uncultured bacterium
Lineage: Bacteria
Description: partial 16S ribosomal RNA
Rfam family: Bacterial small subunit ribosomal RNA
Source: RNAcentral